AUUAAACUGAAGAGUUUGAUCCUGGCUCAGAUUGAACGCUGGCGGCAUGCUUUACACAUGCAAGUCGAACGGCAGCACGGGGGCAACCCUGGUGGCGAGUGGCGAACGGGUGAGUAAUGCAUCGGAAC
RNAcentral lists this ribosomal RNA (128 nucleotides) under Nitrosomonas sp. RNAcentral describes it as "partial 16S ribosomal RNA". It matches the Rfam family "Bacterial small subunit ribosomal RNA", at positions 1 to 124 of the family's 1533-position model. The record is from RNAcentral. Lineage: Bacteria; Pseudomonadati; Pseudomonadota; Betaproteobacteria; Nitrosomonadales; Nitrosomonadaceae.